AACCAACAGGGAUUGCCCCAGUAACGGCGAGUGAAGCGGCAACAGCUCAAAUUUGAAAUCCGGCCCCCCGGGGCCCGAGUUGUAAUUUGGAGAGGAUGCUUUUGGCGAGGCGCCGCCCGAGUUCCCUGGAACGGGACGCCGCAGAGGGUGAGAGCCCCGUCUGGCUGGCCGCCGAGCCUCUGUAAAGCUCCUUCGACGAGUCGAGUAGUUUGGGAAUGCUGCUCAAAACGGGAGGUAUAUGUCUUCUAAAGCUAAAUACCGGCCAGAGACCGAUAGCGCACAAGUAGAGUGAUCGAAAGAUGAAAAGCACUUUGAAAAGAGGGUUAAACAGUACGUGAAAUUGUUGAAAGGGAAGCGCUCGUGACCAGACUUGGGCCCGGCGGAUCACCCGGCGUUCUCGCCGGCGCACUCCGCCCGGCCCAGGCCAGCAUCAGUUCGCCCCGGGGGACAAAGGCUUCGGGAACGUGGCUCCUCCGGGAGUGUUAUAGCCCGCCGCGCAAUGCCCCGGGGCGGACUGAGGUUCGCGCGUCCGCAAGGAUGCUGGCGUAAUGGUCACCAGCGACCCGUCUUGAAACACGGACCAAGGAGUCGUCUUCGUAUGCGAGUGUUCGGGUGCCAAACCCCUACGCGUAAUGAAAGUGAACGCAGGUGAGAGCUUCGGCGCAUCAUCGACCGAUCCUGAUGUUCUCGGAUGGAUUUGAGUAAGAGCAUACGGGGCCGGACCCGAAAGAAGGUGAACUAUGCCUGUAUAGGGUGAAGCCAGAGGAAACUCUGGUGGAGGCUCGCAGCGGUUCUGACGUGCAAAUCGAUCGUCAAAUAUGGGCAUGGGGGCGAAAGACUAAUCGAACCUUCUAGUAGCUGGUUUCCGC
This 869-nucleotide ribosomal RNA is filed under the name Hypomyces pseudolactifluorum. Its description in RNAcentral is "partial large subunit ribosomal RNA". It matches the Rfam family "Eukaryotic large subunit ribosomal RNA", at positions 63 to 961 of the family's 3401-position model. The record is from RNAcentral. Lineage: Eukaryota; Fungi; Ascomycota; Sordariomycetes; Hypocreales; Hypocreaceae.